Molecule: long non-coding RNA, 551 nt
Organism: Mercurialis annua (annual mercury)
Lineage: Eukaryota; Viridiplantae; Streptophyta; Magnoliopsida; Malpighiales; Euphorbiaceae
Exons: 3
Source: RefSeq, a predicted model, not a curated record
GAAAGGAGUUAACAUUUAUCAUCUUUAUGAUUAAGAAAAUAAGAGCUCCAAACUCUCUCUUCUUCCUCACCAAAACCAAACCCUUUCAUCUCCAUGCCAAAUCCAUUAUUCUCAACCAAACUUGAUGGAAUUGGAGGCAAAAUGAUCACAAGGAAGAGGAUAAGCAAGGUAUAAACAAUGGAUUGGGAGCUUGAAUUUGGAGAAUUCAUGGAGGAGUUUAAUUCGGCCACAAAGAUAACUCAUCACUCAAGACCGGACGAGUGACUAUCGAUACGGCUCAAGGCGUACGGAUUGAGAUAUCGUCGUGCUUAUUUGAAGAAUUUGGAUAGCAAGUGGGAUAGCAUGAUAUGAUUUGAAGAGUCAAUCUUCCGAAGUUCUAAUUCUCGGAAGUGAUUUGUACAAGAAGAAAAAGAAUGUUUUCAUUCUAGCAGUCCGCAGUAGUCUAGAAUUAGUUAACUAUACUAUUGUAUAACGCGUUUUAACUCUGAUAUUAUUUGUAAGUGGGGUCACAUGUAUUUUAAUAUAUGAAAUAUGUUUUGAUUUGCGAAAAA